UCUUGGAGUAGGUCAUUGGGUGGAUCCUCUAUUUCCUGAUGUGGGCCACUGGAUGGCUCCUCCAUGUCU
Molecule: microRNA precursor, 69 nt
Filed under: Echinops telfairi (small Madagascar hedgehog)
Lineage: Eukaryota; Metazoa; Chordata; Mammalia; Afrosoricida; Tenrecidae
Description: Ete-Mir-432_pre stem-loop
Rfam family: mir-432 microRNA precursor family
Source: RNAcentral